CAAGGCUCACCAUGUAGCUGGUGCCACAGUGGCAUUUUCAGAGGGGUGCUGCUUCCUGCAGAAUGCACUUGACGUCGGGUAGCACAGCAGGGUGCGGUAAUGGUGACAAGAAUCAGCUGCAGUGUGGUUUCGAUGUUUUCCAACAAACAUUCCUCCAAGUGUGGGAGCAGGGAGCACAGGCCAUGCCACCAUCUCCAGUGGGUACAGUUCUACUUGGUAAUUAGAUAAAAGAUUUGGGCAGACACGGUUUUGCAUCUGCACCCCAUAAUGAAUGUGGGGGCAGUUCUGAAUUCAGGGACAGGAGGAAACCAUAAUAUAUUCAUUCAUUGUAAUUACUUGGGGGUAGUUCUUGCAGGUAGUUCUUUUGCUAACCCCCACGGUACAGGCUGGGUCCGAGGCAAGCUUCCUGGGCCUGUGGGUAGAGUUCUAGUUCGGUUUCAGGAGCAAAAUCACUCUGGGUAACUCCUAUCUUUAUGCUGGUGGCUCCUUCCAGUUCCCAGUCUGGCCUGCUCUUCUUGUGUGGACCCAGAACCCCA
This 536-nucleotide long non-coding RNA is filed under the name Homo sapiens (human). Its description in RNAcentral is "non-protein coding lnc-MRPS6-5:1". Lineage: Eukaryota; Metazoa; Chordata; Mammalia; Primates; Hominidae. The record is from RNAcentral.